RNAcentral lists this long non-coding RNA (709 nucleotides) under Triticum aestivum (bread wheat). RNAcentral's name for it is "long non-coding RNA (TAES_LNC011563)". The record is from RNAcentral. Lineage: Eukaryota; Viridiplantae; Streptophyta; Magnoliopsida; Poales; Poaceae.
UUCGUUCCAUCGCCUGCCGUCGUGUACAAAGAUAGUCGUUGUCUGACCUCGACGAGAGCUUUUCGAUCAACUUGGUCUUUCAGUCGUCGCCGCCAAGACAUCAACCAUGCCGCCCAAGCCUCUCAAGAAGCCCAAGGCCCAGAAGAAAGAGUACGACGAGGUAUGUAGCGCUGAUCUACAAGCGUAUGCACCACCCCUGCUUAUUAGUUUUCUUACAAUUCGAAGGUUAACUAGAUGAUCGCCAAUUACUUUAGCUGUUGUCGAGCAAAUCGAUCGCCAAUUGCUUUCCUGCAAUCUAUAGUUGUUUGUUUCGUAGCAUGGACAAAUUGAUGGAAUCUGAACCUGGGUUUUCUCUGUUCUGCAGACCGAUUUGGAGAACUUGAAGAAGAAGAAAGAGGACGAGAAGGCCGUCAAGGAACUCAAGGCCAAGGCUGCGCAGAAGGGCCCGCUCGGAGGCGCCGGUCUCAAGAAGAGCGGCAAAAAGUGAUCCUGCCACUACUCUUUUUCCAAGACUUAUUAGUUAUCUGAACUUAGGAGCUUCUGAAGAAAAUGGCCGAAGAAAGCUACUUUGGAUAGUUGAUUUGGUUUCAGCGUUUGUGUAACCUUUUCCUGUACGAAUUGAGUUUUUACGACAUUUUCAUGAGCUAAAUUACAUUUUCUGUUCAUCUUUAAUCACAUUGUUUUCUUCUGUUAGCUACUUUGAUUGAUG